UUCGGUUCGGUUAAUCGGUUAGC
Molecule: non-coding RNA, 23 nt
Filed under: Arabidopsis thaliana (thale cress)
Lineage: Eukaryota; Viridiplantae; Streptophyta; Magnoliopsida; Brassicales; Brassicaceae
Source: RNAcentral